RNAcentral lists this ribosomal RNA (253 nucleotides) under uncultured bacterium. Its description in RNAcentral is "partial 16S ribosomal RNA". It matches the Rfam family "Bacterial small subunit ribosomal RNA", at positions 524 to 776 of the family's 1533-position model. The record is from RNAcentral.
UACGUAGGGUGCGAGCGUUGUCCGGAAUUAUUGGGCGUAAAGGGCUCGUAGGCGGUCCGUCACGUCGGGAGUGAAAACUCGGGGCUCAACCCCAAGCUUGCUCUCGAUACGGGCGGACUAGAGGUAGGUAGGGGAGAACGGAAUUCCUGGUGUAGCGGUGGAAUGCGCAGAUAUCAGGAGGAACACCGGUGGCGAAGGCGGUUCUCUGGGCCUUACCUGACGCUGAGGAGCGAAAGCGUGGGGAGCGAACAGG